This is a long non-coding RNA of Quercus lobata, 620 nucleotides long. RefSeq lists it as uncharacterized. NCBI's taxonomy places the organism in Eukaryota, Viridiplantae, Streptophyta, Magnoliopsida, Fagales, Fagaceae. The transcript is spliced from 5 exons. The record is from RefSeq and is a predicted model, not a curated record.
UACCCUUUUGCUGUAGAAUUAUAUAAUGACAUGUUUGAUAGAGGUUUUACACCAGAUAAAUAUAGUUUUGUUGGAUGACUAAAUUGGCUCUGAGGACCUUUUUGAUGUGGCUGCUUCAGUUGGCUGAGAUUCAUCUGUUGCUACAGUUACAACAAGGAGGGGAUGAGGAUUCGAACCCUCUUUCUCCUAAUAAUGGAGAGCAGUAUAUGUCACUAAGCUACAAAUCUCUUGGCAAGCAUCAUGAAGAUGGAUGCUGCUAUUGAAGGAUGAGCUUGCAAGGAGGGUUGAGCUUUUUCCAGGAUAAAUCUUUCAAACACUGGCUUGAUGGAGAUGGUAGAAGUACCUCAGCAAAGUGCUCUAGUUAUGAUGGAGGAAGAGUCUCCUCAAGUUCUGCCAAGUUUGAGCUAAAUAAUUGAAGGAUGCUUCUCAGAUUUGCUCAACAAGGACUGAAGUUCACCAUUACCAUGUACUGCUAGGUGGAAAUGGUACAGCUUCUUCUUCCUCUGAAUCACUUCAACUAUUGUUCUUGAUCACUAGCAAUAUUUUGAUGAGUUUUUAUCCAGUCACCUUUUUAUUUCACUGCAUUAAUUGUUUAUUUUGAAUUCUUGGAAAUAUGAAGA